GAAAUGCGAUAAGUAAUGUGAAUUGCAGAAUUCCGUGAAUCAUCGAAUCUUUGAACGCACAUUGCGCCCUCUGGCAUUCCGGGGGGCAUGCCUGUCCGAGCGUCAUUACGCACCCUCAAGCCCGGCUUGUGUGAUGGGUGUUUGUCCCGUCUCCGCGCGUGGACUCGCCCCAAAGUGAUUGGCAGCCGGCGUACUGGUCCCGGAGCGCAGCACAUGUCGCGCAAACGAGUGCCUUGGUACGGCGGCGUCCAUAAGCCCCUCUCUCACGCUCUUGACCUCGGAUCAGGUAGGGAUACCCGCUGAACUUAAGC
Molecule: unclassified non-coding RNA, 311 nt
Filed under: plant metagenome
Description: partial contains 5.8S ribosomal RNA, internal transcribed spacer 2, and large subunit ribosomal RNA
Rfam family: 5.8S ribosomal RNA (bases 1-105)
Source: RNAcentral